RNAcentral lists this unclassified non-coding RNA (214 nucleotides) under uncultured fungus. Its description in RNAcentral is "sequence contains ITS1, 5.8S rRNA gene". Lineage: Eukaryota; Fungi. The record is from RNAcentral.
UCACGUAUCCACGUAUCAACCAUUGCGAACUGUCUGACCUUUGAGAAGUUUUGUAUGUGAAUAAGGGGAAAGCUUGGCUUCACGGCUUUGCUGACUUCUGCUUCUCAGAGUGUAUUUAUUCACAUCAUUAUUAACAACUUUAACCAAAUUCUUAAACUAUUGAACUGAUUUAUUUCUUACGCUUCGGCGAAGAAAUCAUUACGAAACAUAAGAA